This 446-nucleotide ribosomal RNA is filed under the name uncultured bacterium. RNAcentral describes it as "bacterial SSU rRNA". It matches the Rfam family "Bacterial small subunit ribosomal RNA", at positions 28 to 480 of the family's 1533-position model. The record is from RNAcentral.
GAUGAACGCUAGCUACAGGCUUAACACAUGCAAGUCGAGGGGCAGCAUGAACUUAGCUUGCUAAGUUUGAUGGCGACCGGCGCACGGGUGAGUAACACGUAUCCAACCUUCCGUUUACUCAGGGAUAGCCUUUCGAAAGAAAGAUUAAUACCUGAUAGUAUGGUGAGAUUGCAUGAUAACACCAUUAAAGAUUUAUUGGUAAACGAUGGGGAUGCGUUCCAUUAGGUAGUAGGCGGGGUAACGGCCCACCUAGCCUGCGAUGGAUAGGGGUUCCGAGAGGAAGGUCCCCCACAUUGGAACUGAGACACGGUCCAGACCUCCUACGGGAGGCAGCAGUAGGGAAUAUUGGGCAAUGGGCGCAAGCCUGACCCAGCAACGCCGCGUGAGGGAAGAAGGUUUUCGGAUUGUAAACCUCUGUCCUAUGUGACGAAGGAGUGACGGUAGCA